RNAcentral lists this ribosomal RNA (482 nucleotides) under uncultured bacterium. RNAcentral describes it as "partial 16S ribosomal RNA". It matches the Rfam family "Bacterial small subunit ribosomal RNA", at positions 30 to 507 of the family's 1533-position model. The record is from RNAcentral.
AUUGAACGCUGGCGGCAUGCCUUACACAUGCAAGUCGAACGGUAACGGGCCUUCGGGUGCCGACGAGUGGCGAACGGGUGAGUAAUACAUCGGAACGUGCCCGAUCGUGGGGGAUAACGAGGCGAAAGCUUUGCUAAUACCGCAUACGAUCUACGGAUGAAAGCAGGGGACCGCAAGGCCUUGCGCGGACGGAGCGGCCGAUGGCAGAUUAGGUAGUUGGUGGGAUAAAAGCUUACCAAGCCGACGAUCUGUAGCUGGUCUGAGAGGAUGAUCAGCCACACUGGGACUGAGACGCGGCCCAGACUCCUACGGGAGGCAGCAGUGGGGAAAUUUGGACAAUGGGCGCAAGCCUGAUCCAGCCAUGCCGCGUGCAGGAUGAAGGCCUUCGGGUUGUAAACUGCUUUUGUACGGAACGAAAAGCCUUCUUUUAAUACAGGAGGGUCAUGACGGUACCGUAAGAAUAAGCACCGGCUAACUACGUG